UGGGUCGUUAGCUCAGUUGGUAGAGCAGUGGACUUUUAAUCCAUGGGUCCAGUGACGCAUGGAGCGGACUAGUACUAAUGGUUCGAGGACUUAACCA
This 97-nucleotide transfer RNA is filed under the name Weissella confusa. RNAcentral's name for it is "tRNA-Lys". The stretch from base 2 to 85 matches the Rfam family "tRNA". Rfam says of the family: Transfer RNA (tRNA) molecules are approximately 80 nucleotides in length. Their secondary structure includes four short double-helical elements and three loops (D, anti-codon, and T loops). Further hydrogen bonds mediate the characteristic L-shaped molecular structure. tRNAs have two regions of fundamental functional importance: the anti-codon, which is responsible for specific mRNA codon recognition, and the 3' end, to which the tRNAs corresponding amino acid is attached (by aminoacyl-tRNA synthetases). tRNAs cope with the degeneracy of the genetic code in two manners: having more than one tRNA (with a specific anti-codon) for a particular amino acid; and 'wobble' base-pairing, i.e. permitting non-standard base-pairing at the 3rd anti-codon position. The record is from RNAcentral. Lineage: Bacteria; Bacillati; Bacillota; Bacilli; Lactobacillales; Lactobacillaceae.